AUUUCGGGACCCGGAGCUCCGGCAUAAUUUCCACCACUUUUUGGUCCCAUCAGAUAAUUCAGGUCGAUAUACGGCGCCUCCUAAAAUUUCAGCCCAUUCCGGUGCCGUUUGCUACUUCUUCCGAGUUUUUUUGUGUCCCGGUUUCUCCAUUUUGGACGAUUUUUCAAACUGUUUUUUCCGGCGGCAAAAAAAUUUUUCCCUAACC
RNAcentral lists this long non-coding RNA (205 nucleotides) under Citrus sinensis (sweet orange). Its description in RNAcentral is "long non-coding RNA (CSIN_LNC004663)". Lineage: Eukaryota; Viridiplantae; Streptophyta; Magnoliopsida; Sapindales; Rutaceae. The record is from RNAcentral.